This is a long non-coding RNA of Hemicordylus capensis (graceful crag lizard), 768 nucleotides long. RefSeq lists it as uncharacterized. The transcript has 3 exons. Lineage: Eukaryota; Metazoa; Chordata; Lepidosauria; Squamata; Cordylidae. The record is from RefSeq and is a predicted model, not a curated record.
GAUGCUAGAGCACACAUCUGAGACCUCCACAUAGGGGUCCAUUCCUGCCAGAGAGAGACAUUAGAAUCAGCUGUUAGCUAGCACAGUCACUCCCACUCCCACAGAUCCCCAGCUGAGCCAAACAAGGAGCUGACACAACCUACCAGCACAAGCCACAUCUUUGUUAGACAACUCAGACAAGGAUCCAGACUAAAGCACUGCACACUCCCGAGAUGGGAGGCAUUUCAAGUCCAGAGAAUGGAAGAGUUAUGACUCAUCUUAAUAACAAGAUUGUGCUGGGCAUGUGAAUUGCAGUGCAGUCCUGGGGGAGGAACACACGGCAGCUUUGCUGAGGCUUCAAGAAAUGUCGCAAGAGUGAGAGGGAAGUAUAUGUCAACAUUUUGCAGGAAUUACAGGGAAGCUUGUAUCCUUCUCACUUAACUCCAGAAUGGAGUCUUAUAGGUUCUCAAAUUCAUGUCUUCUCUGCCUGCACCAAAUGUCUCUGAUCAGGACUGCUGAAGGAGUACAGAAGCCUGGUGCCAGCAGGAGGUGGAUGAACACAGACACCACUUGCAUUAGCAGAUUCUCCCAAAUGUCAAGGAAGGACACAUGGUGACAUUGCAAAGAGCAGGAGUAGGGAAGAACUGAUUGCAAGCCAUCUCUCAGGGCAAGAAAAGGUUGCUCUCUGCAGCAUCAGUGUUGAGCCUGGAUUCCUCAGACAGAAUAUCAGAGGCCCUCUCUGACAGUCAUGUAUAUGGACAUGCAAUUAAAAAUGGUUGGUUUUGAUGG